CAGCCGCGGUAAUACAGAGGGUGCAAGCGUUAAUCGGAAUUACUGGGCGUAAAGGGAGCGUAGGCGGCUCGAUAAGUCAGAUGUGAAAUCCCCGGGCUCAACCUGGGAACUGCAUCUGAUACUGUUGAGCUAGAGUAUGUGAGAGGAAGGUAGAAUUCCAGGUGUAGCGGUGAAAUGCGUAGAGAUCUGGAGGAAUACCGAUGGCGAAGGCAGCCCUCUGGCAUAAUACUGACACUGAGGCUCGAAAGCGUGGGUAGCAAACAGGAUUAGAUACCCUGGUAGGUCCCACGCCGUAAACGAUGUCUACUACGUCGUUAGGGUCCCUUGAGGACUUAGUGACGCAGGCUAACGCAAUAAGUAGACCGUCCUGGGGAGAUACGGCCGCAAUGGUUAAAACUCAAAUGAAUUGGACGGGGGCCCGCACAAGCCGGUGGAGCAUGUGGUUUAAUUACGAUGCACACGCGAAGAACCUUACCUGGUCUUGACAUAUCUAGAAGUCCUGUCAGAAAUGCGGGAAUGCCCUGGCGGGAAUUAGAAUACAGGCAACGGCAUGGCUCUCGUCAGCUCGUGU
This 571-nucleotide ribosomal RNA is filed under the name Psychrobacter sp. 'Barents Sea 19'. Its description in RNAcentral is "bacterial SSU rRNA". It matches the Rfam family "Bacterial small subunit ribosomal RNA", at positions 512 to 1065 of the family's 1533-position model. The record is from RNAcentral. RNAcentral also lists the same sequence under 1 other name. Lineage: Bacteria; Pseudomonadati; Pseudomonadota; Gammaproteobacteria; Moraxellales; Moraxellaceae.